Picea glauca (white spruce) is the source of this 121-nucleotide non-coding RNA. NCBI's taxonomy places the organism in Eukaryota, Viridiplantae, Streptophyta, Pinopsida, Pinales, Pinaceae. The record is from Rfam.
ACAUGCCUACAACAUAGCGUUAAUGCAUCAAAUCCCAUUAAAAGUCUACAAUUAAGUGCGCUCAGGCUAGAGUAGUACUGGGAUAGGUGACCUUUUGAGAAGUCCUAUUAUUUUACAUGCC